CCGUUUAACUCGUCGCUCCUUUGAGGGCGACUACGGGAG
Regulatory RNA element from Phyllobacterium sp. YR531, 39 nucleotides. It matches the Rfam family "THF-II riboswitch (folE RNA)". NCBI's taxonomy places the organism in Bacteria, Pseudomonadati, Pseudomonadota, Alphaproteobacteria, Hyphomicrobiales, Phyllobacteriaceae. The record is from Rfam.